RNAcentral lists this ribosomal RNA (428 nucleotides) under uncultured bacterium. Its description in RNAcentral is "partial 16S ribosomal RNA". It matches the Rfam family "Bacterial small subunit ribosomal RNA", at positions 354 to 796 of the family's 1533-position model. The record is from RNAcentral.
GUAGGGAAUAUUGCACAAUGGGGGAAACCCUGAUGCAGCGACACCGCGUGAGUGAUGAAGGCCUUCGGGUCGUAAAGCUCUGUCGUAUGGGACUAACACAAUGAAGGUACCAUGCAAGAAAGGAUCGGCUAACUUCGUGCCAGCAGCCGCGGUAAGACGAGGGAUCCUAGCGUUGUUCGGAAUCAUUGGGCGUAAAGCGGGUGUAGGCGGAUUUAUAAGUCAGGUGUGAAAUCCCAGGGCUCAACCCUGGAAGUGCACUUGAUACUGUAAAUCUUGAGUGUGGUAGAUGUUACUGGAAUUGUUUGUGUAGUGGUGAAAUACGUAGAUAUCAACAGGAAUACCGGAGGCGAAGGCGAGUAACUGGGCCAACACUGACGCUGAGACCCGAAAGCGUGGGGAUCAAACAGGAUUAGAAACCCCGGUAGUCC